CCUACGGGAGGCAGCAGUGGGGAAUUUUGGACAAUGGGCGCAAGCCUGAUCCAGCAAUGCCGCGUGCAGGAUGAAGGCCUUCGGGUUGUAAACUGCUUUUGUACGGAACGAAACGGCUUCUCCUAAUACGAGAGGCUAAUGACGGUACCGUAAGAAUAAGCACCGGCUAACUACGUGCCAGCAGCCGCGGUAAUACGUAGGGUGCAAGCGUUAAUCGGAAUUACUGGGCGUAAAGCGUGCGCAGGCGGUUAUAUAAGACAGAUGUGAAAUCCCCGGGCUCAACCUGGGACCUGCAUUUGUGACUGUAUAGCUAGAGUACGGUAGAGGGGGAUGGAAUUCCGCGUGUAGCAGUGAAAUGCGUAGAUAUGCGGAGGAACACCGAUGGCGAAGGCAAUCCCCUGGACCUGUACUGACGCUCAUGCACGAAAGCGUGGGGAGCAAACAGGAUUAGAUACCCUGGUAGUCCACGCCCUAAACGAUGUCAACUGGUUGUUGGGUCUUCACUGACUCAGUAACGAAGCUAACGCGUGAAGUUGACCGCCUGGGGAGGUACGGCCGCGAGGUAGAACGUACGAAGUAGAGUUAGACGGCGUGAGAGUUGCGACGGACGACGACGAGGGAGGAGG
RNAcentral lists this ribosomal RNA (626 nucleotides) under uncultured bacterium. RNAcentral describes it as "bacterial SSU rRNA". The stretch from base 1 to 542 matches the Rfam family "Bacterial small subunit ribosomal RNA", at positions 338 to 873 of the family's 1533-position model. The record is from RNAcentral.